ACAAGACUUGUUAUUAGACGAUU
RNAcentral lists this unclassified non-coding RNA (23 nucleotides) under Dictyostelium discoideum. The record is from RNAcentral. Lineage: Eukaryota; Evosea; Eumycetozoa; Dictyosteliales; Dictyosteliaceae.